CCUUAUACAUGCAAGUCGAACGAAGUAGCAAUACUUAGUGGCAGACGGGUGAGUAACAUGUAGGUAUCUACCCUUUGGUGAGGAAUAACACGAGGAAACUUGUGCUAAUACCUCAUAAGUCUUUACGGAGAAAGCUUUAUGCGCCGAAGGAUGAGCCUGCACUUGAUUAGUUUGUUGGUGGGGUAAUGGCCUACCAAGACUUUGAUCUAUAGCUGAUCUGAGAGGAUGAUCAGCCACAUUGGGACUGAGACACGGCCCAAACUCCUACGGGAGGCAGCAGUAGGGAAUAUUGCACAAUGGAGGAAACUCUGAUGCAGCGAUGCCGCGUGAGUGAAGAAGGCCUUUGGGUUGUAAAGCUCUUUCGUCGGGGAAGAAAAUGACUGUACCCGAAUAAGAAGG
Molecule: ribosomal RNA, 399 nt
Filed under: uncultured bacterium
Lineage: Bacteria
Description: bacterial SSU rRNA
Rfam family: Bacterial small subunit ribosomal RNA
Source: RNAcentral